AUACGUAGGUGACAAGCGUUAUCCGGAUUUACUGGGCGUAAAGGGCGUGUAGGCGGUCUUGCAAGUCAGAAGUGAAAUUCCUGAGCUCAACUCGGGCGCUGCUUCUGAAACUGCAGGACUUGAGUGCUGGAGGGGAUAGCGGAAUUCCUAGUGGAGCGGUAAAAUGCGCAGAUAUUAGGAAGAACACCGGUGGCGAAGGCGGCUAUCUGGACAAUAACUGACGCUGAUGCGCGAAAGCGUGGGGAGCAAACAGGAGUAGAUACCCUGUUAGUCCACGCCGUAAACGAUGAAUACUAGGUGUAGGGGGUAUCGACUCCCUCUGUGCCGCAGUUAACACAAUAAGUAUUCCGCCUGGGGGGUACGGCCGCAAGGUUGAAACUCAAAUGAAUUGACGGGG
RNAcentral lists this ribosomal RNA (397 nucleotides) under uncultured bacterium. RNAcentral describes it as "partial 16S ribosomal RNA". It matches the Rfam family "Bacterial small subunit ribosomal RNA", at positions 523 to 918 of the family's 1533-position model. The record is from RNAcentral.